AAUCGUGUACUGGAAAAUGACAUAUUUGUGCCUGCACUAUGCCCAAGCGCGACGAUUCAUACCCGCCAUCAAUGAUGUCCGUAUCUUCUUCUAUUCAAUUAUUGUUAAACCCAAACCCCACCCAUUUCUGCCAAACCCCACACGUGUGUUUCUAGACCUAAUAUAUAAAUAUUUAUAUAUGUAUCUCCUUCUUCAAUACAAGCCGCGAUUGUUCCAAAAGCGUGAGAGGUAGUAACGCGCUCCGUAAAACCAUAUAGCACAAACUUCCUCCACUCGCUCAUGUUUCUGCUCUACUCGUAUUUCUUGACCUCAUGUGAAGGAAGAUUGGCCGCCGUUCAUAACCAACCGGCAACCGCCAUCAAUGAUGUUUGUAUCAGCUAUGUGUAUGAGAGGAGGAGCCUUGUGACGAGAGCUACCACAGUUGGCCUCGUUGUUGUGGUACACCUAGAGAUGGCGAAGAGGAGUUACUGGAUCCAUCACCAUUCCAUCGUAUGCGUUAAUGUGAGCAAAGCCGUGAGGGAGAGAAGACAACGAAUUGCAGUCACAGCUCUAUACCACCGGCUUAGAUAUAUACCGCGUUAGCCGUGAUCCAUGGGAGAAACAAAGUGUGUCACCGUGUCACCGGAGGGUUAUGCCGUGAUCACUGGAUAUCGUACCAACCACCGUCCCUUGUUAGCUAAGUGUUAUAUAUCUUCCUUUACUUGUGGUACAAGCAACACCAAUAGCAUAAGCCCUAAUCGUGUCAUGCCAUGCGCAUGAAGAAACGUGGAACUAUAUGUGCGAAUUAUUUGAUAAAUAAUUCAUGCUAAAGCCUAGACCGGGAGACAUAUUUGUUUCCGAUCUAGCUUCGAUUUUAGCUAAGGUGAGAGUUUUUUCCUGAACUUCUCUUACACGGCUUAGGACCUCGAAUAAGUAUAAUUUAGUUUUCUAAUGUGUUCCGUCUGUGUGAAAUCGAGUCUGUCAUUGCUUGUUUAGUUUUAGGUUCUUUGCUUAACCAGAACUAGGGUGUUAGAUGGUUCAACAGUGCUUGUCAUUUAUAACUGAUAAUAUAUACGUAUAUAGUAUAUUGAGGUGAUUACGACAUUAGCCGACCAUGGAGACGUAAUUCUGUGUGUCGGCCGGAGACCAGUAGAUUUGGUGUGGUGGAUGCUGUGCCACAGCUUAGUCGACCUGUUGUGACAAGGCUUCGAGGUCAAAAAUUUGUUUACGGGUGUGUGUUACCGAGCACAAAUUUGGUGGUGUUUUUAGCCUAUUAGUGGGCAGCGGGUGCACACCUCGCUAGAACUGUUGUUUGAUCUCUGGGUACUUUAGGUACCGUGUUUACAACGUGUUAGGAUUAAAUUAAAUUUAUUCGGAGUGCUAUGUCUGGGUCCAUGGACUUCAUGGACUUCGAGUUUAGUAUCUCAUACCUCAGUGAGUGACUCCGCUGUUAUUGACCCCUCUUUCUGCGCCAUUUCAGGUGAGACUGACGAAUAUAUGAUAUUUGGAUGGAUUGGUGCUAUUGGGCGUUUUAUUCGGAUUUUAUUUGGGCUUAGGGUGAGUGGAGUUGUGUAUAUGGGCUAUGUGUUAUGAGAUAUUGUUGGUGGCACGCUGUUCUCCAGAUACGAGGUGACGGGUGUCACAAUUUGGUAUCAGAGCCAGGUUCCGUCCCGGGAUGGCGAUUAGGGGAUUCGGUUUUUAACGUUUUCAAAAAAAUAAAAAAAUAUAUAUAUAUAAAAUAAUAAUAAUAAUAAUAAUAAUAAUAAUAAUAAUAAUAAUAAUAAUAAUAAUAAUAAUAAUAAUAAUAAUAAUAAUAAUAAUAAUAAUAAUAAUAAUAAUAAUAAUAAUAAUAAUAAUAAUAAUAAUAAUAAUAAUAAUAAUAAUAAUAAUAAUAAUAAUAAUAAUAAUAAUAAUAAUAAUAAUAAUAAUAAUAAUAAUAAUAAUAAGGGUAUAUGGGAAUUGUUUUAGCACCAUUCUGUCCAGUAGUUACUAACUCGAUUGUCUCUUUAUGACGAUGAGUAAAAAUCAUCGACAUUCAUCUUUCGGCUAUCAGAGGUCUUCCAGAUGUUCAGCAGAUGUGUGAUGUCGAAGUUUGUCACAUUACUCAGUGGUCUAUCGAUUUCUUCAGUCGUUAUUCUGAGUUUGUUCAGGAGUGGAUAUAUGACGUUUUUGCAACCACCCAAUUUCAAGACAUCAUUCCACGAGUUUCUGAUGCAUGAGUUUUUGUGAUAUGAUGUAUGAGCCAUAGAUUGGCAUGUGUUGUAUUUGUAUACAAGUUUAUAGACUAUUUUGGAUGUAUGCGUGGUCUGAAAACUUGUGGGGGAUCGCUUUUGGAUUGGAGGUGCGCCAGAUCGCGUUGUGUUGAUAUUGGAGGUUACGUUUGGUUUUGUUUGCCAAUUUUUGGCAGUGUUGAUCGUUUUAGAGAUGUGUCAAUUCAACAGCUAGCAUGGAACUUGGGAGCUAUUUAUAUUUGAGUUGUACCAGUUAUGCGUGGAGGAGUCGAGUUAUUCAGAGAUUCAUCAGAGAUUCAUCAGAGAUGGAGCUGGGUUUCUGCGAUGUCAUUCUUGGGACGGAUUGCCCGAGGGCAAGAGUUCUUAUUCCUGGAGCCGAUGAGAGUUUUUAUUGUCUGCAUACUACAUGCUGAGGAGUUAUUGGAUAUAGGAGUAAAUGGAUUUUUGGUGAUCAUUUCGAUGGUUAAGAACGAUGGUCAGCAUGAGUUGCAGGAUCUUCAAGUUAUUUCAGAGUAUGGAAAUGUAUUUGAGGCCUUUCGAAGGGCCGUCACCAGCCAGAGGAGACGUUCUUACGAUUGAGUUGGAGUCAGGGACGACAUUGGUUUCAAGAUUUUCUCUACCAAUUUGUGCCAGCAGAGAUGACCGAGUGGAAAGAGCAUAUGUAAGAACUAUCUAAUAAAGAUUUUAUCAGACCGAGUACUUCAUCGUGGAGAGCACCAGUAUUGUUUGUGAAGAAGAAAGAUGGGAGUUUCAGACUUUGUAUCAACUACAAAGGUCUGAACAAAGUGGCCAUUAAGGAUAAAUAUCGUUCCGCAUAUUGAUGAGUUGUUGGAUUACCUACAGGAGGUUCAUGGUUCUUGAAGGUUGACUUGGCAUCAGGAUACCACCAGAUUGCGAUAGAUGACAAGGAAGUGCGGAAGACAGCCUUACGUAUUAUGGACAUUAUGAGUUGCGAUGAUUUUAUUUGGGUUGAUGGACACACCAGUAGCAUUCAGGAAACCUAUGAAUGAUGUCCUUCGUGAGCACUUGGAUAAGUGCGCGAUUGUCUUCAUCGAUGACACCUUGAUUUAUUCUCAAAUCAGAGAGGAGCAUGAUGAGCAUUUACAGAUUGUGUUAGGUAAGCUUGGAAAGCAUCAGUUGUUGCUAGCCGAAUAAGUGUAGUUUUUGGUAGAGGAAUAAAAAAAUUGGAUGUUUGGGUCAUGUGGUUUCAGAAGCAAGAGUUGCUAUAGAUUCGAAAAAGAAUACUACACUUUAAGAGUGGUCGACGCCUAAAAUGUUCAGAGAUUUGAAGUAUUACUAUCAUUGGCCUUGUGUAAAAAAAAGUAUGCAGCUACAUGGUGUCGCAGUGUCAAAUAUGUCAGAUUAUUAUAGCUGGGUAUCAGGUACCUAGUAGGUUAUUGCAGAACCUGAUUUUGACAGAGUGGAAAUGGGGCAUGGAGACUAUAGAUUUUGUUAUUGGACGACCGACCACCUCAGGUGGGAAGAAUGCUAUUUGAUUGAUCAUGGAUAGACUCACUACGUCAUCUCAUUUCUUAGCGUUUAAGAAGACGGACACAACUGAGUAGUUGGAGAAGAUUUACAUCAGAAAGAAUGUGAGGUUACAUGGAGUUCUCGUCAGCAUUGUAUAGAUUAGGAUGCAAAAAAAGAUAAAUUAUCAUCAACAUUUGGGGAACCUUUCAGAAGGGAUUUGGGACAAAGGUUCAUAUGAGUCCAGCUUACCACCCGCAGUCAGAUGAACAGUUAGAGAAGAUGAUUCAAACUUUGGAAGUUAUGCUCAUGUUUUGUGUUUUGGAUUGGAAAGGGAGCUGGGGAAGUAUCUACCUCUAUCUUAGUUUGCCUAUGACAAUAGCUACCCAUUCCAUAUGGAUAUUGCACUGUAUGAGACUAGUUAUGGUAGGCAUUGUCGUACACCACCUUGUUGGCCAAAAAUGGGGGAGCGGCAUGUUAUAGAACCAACAAGGGUUAAAGAGACAAUAGAGAUGCGCAAGAUUCAGCUUAAGGAAACCCAUGAAAGUUAAACUAGUUAUGCAGAAGGCGUUGGAAGGAUUUAGAGUUUCAGGUGGGAAACUUGGUAUACCUGAAAAUGAAGAUAUUUUAGAAAGGAUCUAAAACUCGGAAGCUAGAGAUAAACCGAGAUAUAUGGAACCGUACCCCCUUUGUGGAGUGGAUUUGAGCAGUAGCUUUUAGAUUUCAGUUAUCAGCAAAGCUGUCAGGCUUUCAUGACGUAUUCCAUGUGAGUUUUAAGAAAUGUCGUGAGAGAACCAGAGCUCAUUUUUCAGCAGCCACCAAGUGAUCUCGGUAAAAAAAAAAUUGUCUGCACCUACCCAGCCAGUUGAGAUUAUAAAUCGGCAAGUAAAAGAGGUUCUGAGAAUGAUGACUAGGUUCGUCAAAGUUUGUCGAGAGACACACAAGAUCCAGGGGGUGACCGAGACUCAAAAGAAAUUGACUAUGCAGAGUUUCCUCAGGAUGCUAUUGGACAACCGGCUCAGGAUUUGAAUUCGAGGAUGAAUUAUGUAUUAGUGGGGGAGAAUUGUAACGACCCUAACCUGGUCUAAUUGAAUUAUUAUUUAGACUAAAUUGAAUGGUUUGGUUUUCAUCUAUUCUAUUCAAUUAUUGUUAAUCCCAAAUCCCACCCAUUUGUCCCAAACCCCACACGUGUGUUUCUAAACCUAAUAUAUAGAUAAAUAUAUGUAUCUCCUUCUUCAAUCCAAGCUGCCAUUGUUCCAAAAGCAUGAGAGGUAGUAACACGCUCCGUAAAACCAUAUAUCACGAACUUCCUCCACUUGCUCAUGUUUCUGCUCUACUCGUAUGUCUUGACCUCAUGUGAAGGAAGAUUGGCCGCCGUUCAUAACCAACCGGCAACCGCCAUCAAUGAUGUCUGUAUCAGUUAUGUGUAUGAGAGGAGGAGCCUUGUGGCGAGAGCUACCACUGUUGGUCUCGUUGUUGUGGUACACCAAGAGAUGGCGAAGAGGAGUUACUGGAUCCAUCACCAUUCCAUUGUAUGCGUUAAUGUGAGCAAAGCCGCGAGGGAGAGAAGACAACGAACUGGAGUCACCGAUCUACACCACCGGCUCCGAUCUAUACCGUGUUAGCCGUGAUCCAUGGGAGAAACAAGCCGUGUCACGGGAGGGUCAUGCCGUGAUCACUGGAGAUCGUACCAACCACCGUCCCUUGUUGGCUAAGUGUUAUAUUCCUUUAUUUGUGGUACAAGCAACAUAAAUAGCAUAAGCCCUAAUUGUGUCAUGCCAUGCGCAUGAAGAAACGUGGAACUAUAGGUGCGAAUUAUUUGAUAAUUAUUCAUGCUAAAGCCUAGACCGAGAGACAUAUUUUUUUCCGAUCUAGGUUUGAUUUUGGCUAAGGUGAGGGUUUUUCCCGAACUUCUCUUACACGUCUUAGGACCUCGAAUAAGUAUAAUUUAUUUCUAAUGUGUUCCGUCUGUGUGAAAUCGAGUUUGUCAUUGCUUGUUUAGUUUUAGGUUCUUUUCUUAACCGGAACUAGGGUGUUAGAUGGUUCAACAGUGCUUGUUCAUUUAUAACUGAUAAUAUAUACGUGUAUAGUAUAUUGAGGUGAUUAGAACGUUAGCUGACCAUGGAGACGUAAUUCUAUGUGUCGGCCGGAGACCAGUAGAUUUAAUGUGGUGGAUGCUGCGGUACAGCUUAGUCGACCUGUUGUGACAAGGGUUCGAGGUCGAAAAAUCAUCUACGGGUGUGUGUUACCGAACACAUAUUCGGUGUUGUUUUUAGCCUGUUAGUGGGCAGCGAGUGUGCACCUCGCUAUGACUGUUGUUUGAUCUCUGGGUACUUUAGGUAUCGUGUUUGCAACGUGAUAGGAUUAAAUUAUAUUUAUUCGGAGUGCUCUAUCUGGGUCAUGGACUUCGGGUUUAGUAUCUCAUACCUCACUGAGUGACUCCCUAGUUACUCACCCCUCUUUCUGCCCCAUUUCAGGUGAGACUGGCGAGUAUAUGAUAUUUGGUCGGAUUGGUGCUACUGAGCUUUUUAUUUGGGCAAUGUGUUACGAGAUAUUGUUGGUGUACGCUUUUCUCCAGAUAGUAGGUGACGGGUGUCACAGUUAAUCUCCCUCAAUGAAUUAAUUAUGUAAUUGUUUCUCUUAGGGUUAACUAUCUAUAUCCCAGAAGAACUUACUAUAUAGCAUCAAAUAUCUCUCAAACUGUGAUUUC
Molecule: long non-coding RNA, 6387 nt
Filed under: Brassica napus (rape)
Lineage: Eukaryota; Viridiplantae; Streptophyta; Magnoliopsida; Brassicales; Brassicaceae
Description: long non-coding RNA (BNAP_LNC006628)
Source: RNAcentral